CCUACGGGUGGCAGCAGUGGGGAAUAUUGCACAAUGGGGGGAACCCUGAUGCAGCGACGCCGCGUGAGUGAAGAAGUAUUUCGGUAUGUAAAGUUCUGUUAGCAGGGAAGAAGAAAGACGGUACCUGACCAAGAAGCCCCGGCUAACUAAGUGCCAGCAGCCGCGGUAAUACGUAGGGGGCAAGGGUUAUCCGGAUUUACUGGGUGUAAAGGGAGCGUAGACGGCAUGGCAAGUCUGAAGUGAAAGGCAGGAGCCCAACCCCAGGACUGCACUGGAAACUGUCCGGCUAGAGUGCAGGAGAGGUAGGUGGAAUUCCUGGUGUAGCGGUGAAAUGCGUAGAUAUUAGGAGGAACACUAGUGGCGAAGGCGGCUUACUGGACUGUAACUGACGUUGAGGCUCGAAAGCGUGGGGAGCAAACAGGAUUAGAUACCCCAGUAGUC
This 441-nucleotide ribosomal RNA is filed under the name uncultured bacterium. RNAcentral's name for it is "partial 16S ribosomal RNA". It matches the Rfam family "Bacterial small subunit ribosomal RNA", at positions 338 to 795 of the family's 1533-position model. The record is from RNAcentral.